GAUGAACGCUAGCUACAGGCUUAACACAUGCAAGUCGAGGGACCGGCGCAUGGGUGAGUAACACGUAUCCCACCUGCCCUUUACUCGGGGACGGCCUUUCGAAAGAAAGAUUACUACCCGAUAUAAAGGACGGGGAUGCGUUCCAUUAGGUUGUUGGUGAGGUAACGGCCCACCAAGCCUUCGAUGGAUAGGGGUACUGAGAGGAAGGACCCCGACAUUGGAACGGAGACACGGUCCAAACUCGUACGGGAGGCGGCAGUGAGUAAUAUUGGUCAAGGGGCGCUAGCCUGAACCGGCCAAGUAGCGUAUAGGGUGAAGGGUUAUGGGUCGUAAACUUCUUGUAGAUAAGAAUAUGUAUUAUAUAAAUAAGAAUCGGCUAACUCCGUGCCAGCAGCCGCGGUAAUC
Molecule: ribosomal RNA, 405 nt
Filed under: uncultured bacterium
Lineage: Bacteria
Description: partial 16S ribosomal RNA
Rfam family: Bacterial small subunit ribosomal RNA
Source: RNAcentral